AAUAUUUCAUUCACUUGAACAACUCUAUAGUAAUUGUUUUGUCUUCUCUUUUCUCUUUUUAUUCUUUUUUUUUGUUGAAGGAAUAUGUAUUGACAUGUAUUGAAAUAUUACAAACAUAAUGUCUUUUUUUCCUUCCUCUUAUCCUUCUAUUUUUUCUUUCUCCUAUCCUUCUAUUUUUUUCAUUCCUUUUUUUUUAUUUUCUAUUUUUUUUCUUUUUCUGCCAACUUCUGAAAUAUUACAAACAUAAUUAUUCAACCCCACACACUCCAAACAAGACUCU
RNAcentral lists this long non-coding RNA (280 nucleotides) under Lathyrus oleraceus (garden pea). Its description in RNAcentral is "Pisum sativum (pea) long non-coding RNA (PSAT_LNC029843)". Lineage: Eukaryota; Viridiplantae; Streptophyta; Magnoliopsida; Fabales; Fabaceae. The record is from RNAcentral.